CAGAGGUUACUCACAACCACUAAUUGGAGGCCACAGCUGCAACAGCUAAAGCCUGGAGAUUCAGAAAUUAGGUGGCUUUUCUAAGCAGGAGCUCAGAUAAUCACCACCAUGAUUAUGAUGUUGACAGCAGGAGUGCCACAGAGCCUUCCCAGCUCAGGGAGAGGCAGGUAUGCCUGGAGCUUUUUUGUGCCUUUCCAAUGAUCUCUCUCUCUCAGCUUCAGAAAAAAUGUAAUAGUCCAGGCUUGUACUGACAAGGUCCUUCAGCCUUAUCUUCCAUAAGUUAUUACUGCUCGGGAGGUCUGUGCUGGGAGAACAAAAUUCUGAAUAAUUCAGCCCCAACCGUCACAGGCGUCCCCUAGCUCCCAGACUGCCUUCCCCCAAAAUGUAUGCAACCAAGGAGGAUAGGGGUCAGGAAAGCAUCACUGCUCUCCGACCUGAAGCCAACAUUACCCUCACCGUGGUGCUGCCAGGUUUGCUGUCCCAUAGUUUGUGCCGGCUGUGGCCUCCUGGAUCAUCUGCUCAGAGCGUGACUCACAGCCUUCUGCUUCUGGACACGUAACCGGUGCUUCUGACACAUCUUUCUCUGUACACGCCCUUACUGCAACUAUCUGUGCAAAUACUUUGUGGCCGUAAUUAUAUUCUCAGUUUCUCUCUUUAA
Oxyura jamaicensis (ruddy duck) is the source of this 658-nucleotide long non-coding RNA. RefSeq lists it as uncharacterized. Lineage: Eukaryota; Metazoa; Chordata; Aves; Anseriformes; Anatidae. The transcript has 2 exons. The record is from RefSeq and is a predicted model, not a curated record.